Molecule: long non-coding RNA, 516 nt
Filed under: Helianthus annuus (common sunflower)
Lineage: Eukaryota; Viridiplantae; Streptophyta; Magnoliopsida; Asterales; Asteraceae
Description: sRNA HanXRQr2_Chr01g0012331
Source: RNAcentral
UUCAAGAAAAAUGCAUAAUACUUGUUAGCCCAUAGAUCCUUCCUUUUGCAAUUUCUUGUUUCAGCUUUCUUACCACCAAUAAUAGCCCAACUACAGAGCAUAUCUUCAGCCCAAUUUCCAAGCUUGUUACCAAUGUAUAAAACAAACCCAUUUUAUUCUAAACCAAAUAAGCCCAAUUCUUACUAAUCCAACAAUUAACCAGACCAUAUUAAUCGCACUUUUAUUUAGCACUCUGGCCCAUCUCCCAAACUCUAACUAUUCGACUACUAAUCAGCCACAGUCCAACAAGUAUAGCAGCAACUAUCCUGGACCAGCAUUCAUCACUAACAUUUUGAGAUAUACUUCCCUUUAUUUUUGCACUCAUUAAUCAACACCCUGAUCCAGCAUAUGUGUCACGACCCCCGACCCCAUCUAGCCGGAAUCGGAAGUCGCGAGCAGUCCAGUGUGGUACCGGUGAUUAUUUUGAAAAACAUUGCAGCGGAAAUUUCAUCAGGACCGUGAGUUAGGAAAAAUAUC